This 253-nucleotide ribosomal RNA is filed under the name uncultured bacterium. RNAcentral describes it as "partial 16S ribosomal RNA". It matches the Rfam family "Bacterial small subunit ribosomal RNA", at positions 524 to 776 of the family's 1533-position model. The record is from RNAcentral.
UACGUAGGGGGCAAGCGUUGUCCGGAAUCAUUGGGCGUAAAGCGCGUGUAGGCGGCUCGAUAAGUCUGCUGUGAAAGUCCAGGGCUCAACCCUGGGAUGCCGGUGGAUACUGUCGAGCUCGAGUCCGGAAGAGGCGAGUGGAAUUCCUGGUGUAGCGGUGAAAUGCGCAGAUAUAAGGAGGAACACCAAUGGCGAAGGCAGCUCGCUGGGACGUGACUGACGCUGAGACGCGAAAGCGUGGGGAGCAAACAGG